This 491-nucleotide ribosomal RNA is filed under the name uncultured bacterium. RNAcentral describes it as "partial 16S ribosomal RNA". It matches the Rfam family "Bacterial small subunit ribosomal RNA", at positions 30 to 523 of the family's 1533-position model. The record is from RNAcentral.
AUUGAACGCUGGCGGCAGGCUUAAUACAUGCAAGUCGAACGGACUACUUCGGUAGUUAGUGGCGAACGGGUGAGUAAUGCCUAGGAAUCUGCCAUUUAGUGGGGGAUAACGUUCCGAAAGGAACGCUAAUACCGCAUACGUCCUACGGGAGAAAGAGGGGGAUCUUCGGACCUCUUGCUAAAUGAUGAGCCUAGGUCAGAUUAGCUAGUUGGUGGGGCAAAGGCUCACCAAGGCGACGAUCUGUAGCGGGUCUGAGAGGAUGAUCCGCCACACUGGAACUGAGACACGGUCCAGACUCCUACGGGAGGCCGCAGUGGGGAAUAUUGGACAAUGGGCGCAGGCCAGAUCCAGCCAUGCCGCGUGUGUGAAGAAGGCCUUUUGGUUGUAAAGCACUUUAAGCGAGGAGGAGGGUACUCUAGCUAAUAUCUAGAUGUACUGGACGUUACUCGCAGAAUAAGCACCGGCUAACUCUGUGCCAGCCGCCGCCGUAA